This 526-nucleotide ribosomal RNA is filed under the name uncultured bacterium. RNAcentral describes it as "bacterial SSU rRNA". It matches the Rfam family "Bacterial small subunit ribosomal RNA", at positions 971 to 1501 of the family's 1533-position model. The record is from RNAcentral.
UUACCCACCUUUGACAUGUACGGAAUUUGCCAGAGAUGGCUUAGUGCUCGAAAGAGAGCCGUAACACAGGUGCUGCAUGGCUGUCGUCAGCUCGUGUCGUGAGAUGUUGGGUUAAGUCCCGCAACGAGCGCAACCCUUGUCAUUAGUUGCUACGAAAGGGCACUCUAAUGAGACUGCCGGUGACAAACCGGAGGAAGGUGGGGAUGACGUCAAGUCCUCAUGGCCCUUAUAGGUGGGGCUACACACGUCAUACAAUGGCUGGUACAGAGGGUUGCCAACCCGCGAGGGGGAGCUAAUCCCAUAAAACCAGUCGUAGUCCGGAUCGCAGUCUGCAACUCGACUGCGUGAAGUCGGAAUCGCUAGUAAUCGCGGAUCAGAAUGUCGCGGUGAAUACGUCCCCGGGUCUUGUACACACCGCCCGUCACACCAUGGGAGCGGGUUCUGCCAGAAGUAGUUAGCCUAACCGCAAGGAGGGCGAUUACCACGGCAGGGUUCGUGACUGGGGUGAAGUCGUAACAAGGUAGCC